UACGUAGGGGGCAAGCGUUGUCCGGAUUUAUUGGGCGUAAAGAGCUCGUAGGCGGUCUGUCACGUCGGCUGUGAAAUCCCGAGGCUCAACCUCGGGUCUGCAGUCGAUACGGGCAAACUAGAGUACUGCAGGGGAGACUGGAAUUCCUGGUGUAGCGGUGAAAUGCGCAGAUAUCAGGAGGAACACCGGUGGCGAAGGCGGGUCUCUGGGCAGUAACUGACGCUGAGGAGCGAAAGCGUGGGGAGCGAACAGG
This 253-nucleotide ribosomal RNA is filed under the name uncultured bacterium. RNAcentral describes it as "partial 16S ribosomal RNA". It matches the Rfam family "Bacterial small subunit ribosomal RNA", at positions 524 to 776 of the family's 1533-position model. The record is from RNAcentral.